Molecule: ribosomal RNA, 363 nt
Filed under: uncultured archaeon
Lineage: Archaea
Description: partial 16S ribosomal RNA
Rfam family: Archaeal small subunit ribosomal RNA
Source: RNAcentral
CGAACGAGUUUAGACUCGUGGCGUACGGCUCAGUAACACGUGGAUAACCUACCCUUAGGACUGGGAUAACCCUGGGAAACUGGGGAUAAUACUAGAUAGGCAAUUUUUCCUGUAAUGGUUUUUUGUUUAAAUGUUUUUUUCGCCUAAGGAUGGGUCUGCGGCCGAUUAGGUAGUUGGUUAGGUAAUGGCUUACCAAGCCGUUGAUCGGUACGGGUUGUGAGAGCAAGAGCCCGGAGAUGGAACCUGAGACAAGGUUCCAGGCCCUACGGGGUGCAGCAGGCGCGAAACCUCCGCAAUGUGAGAAAUCGCGUCGGGGGGAUCCCAAGUGCCAUUCUUAACGGGAUGGCUUUUCAUUAGUGUAAA